UGCCAGACUCCUACGGGAGGCAGCAGUGGGGAAUAUUGCACAAUGGGGGAAACCCUGAUGCAGCGACGCCGCGUGAGCGAUGAAGUAUUUCGGUAUGUAAAGCUCUAUCAGCAGGGAAGAAGAUGACGGUACCUGACUAAGAAGCCCCGGCUAACUACGUGCCAGCAGCCGCGGUAAUACGUAGGGGGCAAGCGUUAUCCGGAUUUACUGGGUGUAAAGGGAGCGUAGACGGCGAUGCAAGCCAGAUGUGAAAGCCCGGGGCUCAACCCCGGGACUGCAUUUGGAACUGUGUGGCUGGAGUGUCGGAGAGGCAGGCGGAAUUCCUAGUGUAGCGGUGAAAUGCGUAGAUAUUAGGAGGAACACCAGUGGCGAAGGCGGCCUGCUGGACGAUGACUGACGUUGAGGCUCGAAAGCGUGGGGAGCAAACAGGAUUAGAUACCCCGGUAU
This 447-nucleotide ribosomal RNA is filed under the name uncultured bacterium. RNAcentral's name for it is "bacterial SSU rRNA". It matches the Rfam family "Bacterial small subunit ribosomal RNA", at positions 329 to 793 of the family's 1533-position model. The record is from RNAcentral.